This 644-nucleotide ribosomal RNA is filed under the name uncultured Bacteroidales bacterium. RNAcentral's name for it is "bacterial SSU rRNA". It matches the Rfam family "Bacterial small subunit ribosomal RNA", at positions 78 to 719 of the family's 1533-position model. The record is from RNAcentral. Lineage: Bacteria; Pseudomonadati; Bacteroidota; Bacteroidia; Bacteroidales.
UGCAAACUGGAGAUGGCGACCGGCGCACGGGUGAGUAACACGUAUCCAACCUGCCGAUAACUCGGGGAUAGCCUUUCGAAAGAAAGAUUAAUACCCGAUAGUAUAAUUAGACCGCAUGGUCUUAUUAUUAAAGAAUUUCGGUUAUCGAUGGGGAUGCGUUCCAUUAGGCAGUUGGUGAGGUAACGGCUCACCAAACCUUCGAUGGAUAGGGGUUCUGAGAGGAAGGUCCCCCACAUUGGAACUGAGACACAGUCCAAACUCCUACGGGAGGCAGCAGUGAGGAAUAUUGGUCAAUGGGCGCAGGCCUGAACCAGCCAAGUAGCGUGAAGGAUGACUGCCCUAUGGGUUGUAAACUUCUUUUAUAUGGGAAUAAAGUUUUCCACGUGUGGAAUUUUGUAUGUACCAUAUGAAUAAGGAUCGGCUAACUCCGUGCCAGCAGCCGCGGUAAUACGGAGGAUCCGAGCGUUAUCCGGAUUUAUUGGGUUUAAAGGGAGCGUAGGUGGACAGUUAAGUCAGUUGUGAAAGUUUGCGGCUCAACCGUAAAAUUGCAGUUGAUACUGGCUGUCUUGAGUACAGUAGAGGUGGGCGGAAUUCGUGGUGUAGCGGUGAAAUGCUUAGAUAUCACGAAGAACUCCGAUUGCGAA